This is a long non-coding RNA of Equus caballus (horse), 2147 nucleotides long. NCBI's taxonomy places the organism in Eukaryota, Metazoa, Chordata, Mammalia, Perissodactyla, Equidae. The record is from Ensembl.
AGCACACUCUGGGAGUUCAGCCUUCAACAAGUGUUGCUGCACGCCUACUGGGCAUCAGACCCUGUUCUGGGUGCUGGAUGGACUGGAGGGAGUGAGAAAGCCGGGGGUCAUUGCCGCAGUCCGUGUGGACGAUGCUGGUCCAGGGAUCUCCUCCAGGGAGGCACCGUCACCCAGUGAUGCGGGAUCCAGGCUCCUUCCAUCCCUGAUGACGUCAUCGACACCUGUGGCCUCCAGGAUCACCAGGGAAGGGGGCAUGAAGCUGCUACGUGGGAGACACCCCCAUGGCAAGGCACUGAAGGCCACCUCCAGCCAACAGCCACCAGGCAGGCCGGACCUGAGGCCCCUGGUCCAUCAGCCCUCGAGGAAGAGUCGUGUCCACCCCUGCAGGAGCUCGGGAGCAGACCCUUCCCCAGUCGAGCCUUCAGACCACGUCCCCGCCUCGGCCACAACUUGAUCGCGGCCUCGUGUGAGCCGCUGAAGCAGAGGAUCCAACCAAGAUGUAAAUUUCACCCCCAAACCCCACAAGGAACAGGGGAGUCUGAGACUUGGAAGAAUCGCUGGGAUGUGCAGCACACCUUCCCCUCUGAUCCGCUGGCUCUGUGGGCCCACCAGGGGGAGGAGACCCGCCAGUAACCUAAAUGCAAAUCGCCCUUGGCAGCAGCCGCGGCACUCCUGUGUUCCGCCAGGGGAGCAUCUCCAACAUGUGCAGAUAAACAUUCCUGUGACUGCGUGAGAUGGAACAGUGCUGCCUAAUUGGUCAACUCUGCUGGAGGAGAACCUGAGAGGUGAUGCGGGAUUGGUUUGUGUGGAGCCCCGGGCCCUGGGGAGGGGCCGGAAGUCAGCCCUGUCCUGCAGCCAGAAGGUGGAGCAGGUGGGAACGGAGCCCCUCUCUUCGCAGACACUUCACAGAAGGAAGAAUGAAGCGGGCAUGCGUGGGAGCCAGGAGCCGCUCUGAGCCUCGGGGAAGAGAAGCCUUGAGCAGGGACGUCAGGAGACCAAGAAAGUCCUACAAUUCUGAGCAGCCUGCGGAUCUCUGAGGCACUGAGCCAGCAGCCAUCAUCCUUCUCUCUCCGUCUAAAUUGUUUCAGCACCACACACCCUAAGGCGCGGGGAGGGGCAUGGAGCUGGGCAGCGACUUCCUUUGAGCAGGCCCAGUUGAGUCCCUGGUCCUGGCCUGUGUGCCCCCUGCCUGCAGCCCUGAGCCAGGAAGUAGGUGGAGUUGGGUGGCACUUCCUGGCGUGAAAGCCAGGAAGUUCAAGCGUCUUUUCCCAAUUGGCCAGUUUUGAGCGGAGGAGGAUUAGCUGUGGGAUGCUGGGCAAGUCACUUAACCUCUGUGAGCCUUACUUUCUUCAUCUGGGAAAUGAGCUGACAGCUGCCUCCUCGGCUGGUGUGAGCCCUGAGUGAUGACACAUGUGGGGGCCAGGUGCUGUGCCUGGCCCUCAGCAGGUGCUCCCAUGGUGAGCCUCAUCCCCACCGUGGAGAGCUCGGCACUGACAGUUCUCCCCGAAGCCAGCCCCUGCGUCAUUCUGCUUUCAAUGUUCCCACAUCUGCCCCCUUUCCCCCAUUGGGACAGUCAAGGCAUUGGGCACAUGGCCACCAAGGCCCUUUGCAGCUUGGACAGUGGGGGCCCCUUACUCCUUUCCUGAGCCACAGCCUCAUGCCCGACUCUAACCACUGCACCCCCAGCCCCGUGAGCCUGUCAGCUGCGUUCAGGAGACCCUGAGCCUCCCUACUGACCCAGAGCUGCAGGAGAACAGACCCACCACCGACUGCAGACCUCCUGUGUCCGGGCCCUGGGCUCGCAGAGAACAGAUGCGCCCUGUUCCCUCUGAGGUUGUGUCAGCAGGAGGGAAGCAGGCACCGCGAGGAGGGACCCUGGACACGCCAGGCCGGCCCUGGGAGCAGGAGACCCAGGAAUAGACACGGCAGGUGCGCAUGUGCGCGCUGAGUGGGCGACAGUCUCGGUUCUUCAGCCUGUCAGCACCGGGAAUAAUUAGAAUCCUAAAGAGGCCUCGUUAUUGCUCCCAGGACCGUGGCGCCCUUUGGAAAAAGGAUGUUUCCUGCCAGAUCGUCCCCUGAAGAUGCGUUUGUCACCAGCUGUCGUGUAAAUCCAUGUUUGGCCUGUUUUAAAAGAUGUGAUUUAUCCA